CUUGGGAGAGACCUGGCUUCCUCCUUUUCCAACAGCCCGUAGCUCUUUCAAGACACUUUCUAUGAUAGCUUCAAAAUACUUCAAUAACACAUGGAUCUGAUUCAUGCUCUGCAACAUCGGGGCACUUGUCUUCAGCAGCUGGAGCACACCAGAAUUGACACGAGCUGACAGAAGCUUCACAGUGACAGGGUUUAAACUGUGCUGGGGAAGAGAACGUUGUUCUAAAGCCAGGAACCAACUCUCCAGUGUUGGAUGUUUGAAAAUCAGCAUUAACAUAUCUUCUAGGGUCUUGUCAUUUAAAGACUCCUCUGUAAUCAGAGACUCUUCAUCCAUAAAGAGAUCCGAUUCAGUCUGAUGCUUUUCUUGUUUCUGCCGAUUAUCCAACUCUAUCUGAUUUCCCCGGCACAACAAGCUGUUCAGCAGGUCCACAAAGAGGUCAACA
RNAcentral lists this long non-coding RNA (442 nucleotides) under Gallus gallus (chicken). Lineage: Eukaryota; Metazoa; Chordata; Aves; Galliformes; Phasianidae. The record is from RNAcentral.